Molecule: ribosomal RNA, 497 nt
Filed under: uncultured bacterium
Lineage: Bacteria
Description: partial 16S ribosomal RNA
Rfam family: Bacterial small subunit ribosomal RNA
Source: RNAcentral
GAUGAACGCUGGCGGCGUGCCUAAUACAUGCAAGUCGAGCGAACGGACGAGAAGCUUGCUUCUCUGAUGUUAGCGGCGGACGGGUGAGUAACACGUGGAUAACCUACCUAUAAGACUGGGAUAACUUCGGGAAACCGGAGCUAAUACCGGAUGAUAUUUUGAACCGCAUGGUUCAAAAGUGAAAGACGGUCUUGCUGUCACUUAUAGAUGGAUCCGCGCUGCAUUAGCUAGUUGGUAAGGUAACGGCUUACCAAGGCAACGAUGCAUAGCCGACCUGAGAGGGUGAUCGGCCACACUGGAACUGAGACACGGUCCAGACUCCUACGGGAGGCAGCAGUAGGGAAUCUUCCGCAAAGGGCGAAAGCCUGACGGAGCAACGCCGCGUGAGUGAUGAAGGUCUUCGGAUCGUAAAACUCUGUUAUUAGGGAAGAACAUAUGUGUAAGUAACUGUGCACAUCUUGACAGUACCUAAUCAGAAAGCCACGGCUAACUACGUG